RNAcentral lists this ribosomal RNA (254 nucleotides) under uncultured bacterium. RNAcentral's name for it is "partial 16S ribosomal RNA". It matches the Rfam family "Bacterial small subunit ribosomal RNA", at positions 524 to 776 of the family's 1533-position model. The record is from RNAcentral.
UACGUAGGGUGCGAGCGUUGUCCGGAAUUAUUGGGCGUAAAGGGCUCGUAGGCGGUUUGUCGCGUCGGGAGUGAAAAUCCAGGGCUUAACUCUGGACUGGCUUUCGAUACGGGCAGACUAGAGUUCGGCAGGGGAGACUGGAAUUCCUGGUGUAGCGGUGAAAUGCGCAGAGUAUCAGGAGGAACACCGGUGGCGAAGGCGGGUCUCUGGGCCGAUACUGACGCUGAGGAGCGAAGGCGUGGGGAGCAAACAGG